RNAcentral lists this ribosomal RNA (1371 nucleotides) under uncultured bacterium. RNAcentral describes it as "bacterial SSU rRNA". It matches the Rfam family "Bacterial small subunit ribosomal RNA", at positions 28 to 1381 of the family's 1533-position model. The record is from RNAcentral.
GGUGAACGCUGGCGGCGUGCCUAAUACAUGCAAGUCGAGCGAACGGACGAGAAGCUUGCUUCUCUGAUGUUAGCGGCGGACGGGUGAGUAACACGUGGAUAACCUACCUAUAAGACUGGGAUAACUUCGGGAAACCGGAGCUAAUACCGGAUAAUAUUUUGAACCGCAUGGUUCAAAAGUGAAAGACGGUCUUGCUGUCACUUAUAGAUGGAUCCGCGCUGCAUUAGCUAGUUGGUAAGGUAACGGCUUACCAAGGCAACGAUGCAUAGCCGACCUGAGAGGGUGAUCGGCCACACUGGAACUGAGACACGGUCCAGACUCCUACGGGAGGCAGCAGUAGGGAAUCUUCCGCAAUGGGCGAAAGCCUGACGGAGCAACGCCGCGUGAGUGAUGAAGGUCUUCGGAUCGUAAAACUCUGUUAUUAGGGAAGAACAUAUGUGUAAGUAACUGUGCACAUCUUGACGGUACCUAAUCAGAAAGCCACGGCUAACUACGUGCCAGCAGCCGCGGUAAUACGUAGGUGGCAAGCGUUAUCCGGAAUUAUUGGGCGUAAAGCGCGCGUAGGCGGUUUUUUAGUCUGAUGUGAAAGCCCACGGCUCCACCGUGGAGGGUCAUUGGAAACUGGAAAACUUGAGUGCAGAAGAGGAAAGUGGAAUUCCAUGUGUAGCGGUGAAAUGCGCAGAGAUAUGGAGGAACACCAGUGGCGAAGGCGACUUUCUGGUCUGUAACUGACGCUGAUGUGCGAAAGCGUGGGGAUCAAACAGGAUUAGAUACCCUGGUAGUCCACGCCGUAAACGAUGAGUGCUAAGUGUUAGGGGGUUUCCGCCCCUUAGUGCUGCAGCUAACGCAUUAAGCACUCCGCCUGGGGAGUACGACCGCAAGGUUGAAACUCAAAGGAAUUGACGGGGACCCGCACAAGCGGUGGAGCAUGUGGUUUAAUUCGAAGCAACGCGAAGAACCUUACCAAAUCUUGACAUCCUUUGACAACUCUAGAGAUAGAGCCUUCCCCUUCGGGGGACAAAGUGACAGGUGGUGCAUGGUUGUCGUCAGCUCGUGUCGUGAGAUGUUGGGUUAAGUCCCGCAACGAGCGCAACCCUUAAGCUUAGUUGCCAUCAUUAAGUUGGGCACUCUAAGUUGACUGCCGGUGACAAACCGGAGGAAGGUGGGGAUGACGUCAAAUCAUCAUGCCCCUUAUGAUUUGGGCUACACACGUGCUACAAUGGACAAUACAAAGGGCAGCGAAACCGCGAGGUCAAGCAAAUCCCAUAAAGUUGUUCUCAGUUCGGAUUGUAGUCUGCAACUCGACUACAUGAAGCUGGAAUCGCUAGUAAUCGUAGAUCAGCAUGCUACGGUGAAUACGUUCCCGGGUCU